Molecule: ribosomal RNA, 840 nt
Filed under: uncultured Gammaproteobacteria bacterium
Lineage: Bacteria; Pseudomonadati; Pseudomonadota; Gammaproteobacteria
Description: bacterial SSU rRNA
Rfam family: Bacterial small subunit ribosomal RNA
Source: RNAcentral
CAUGCAAGUCGAGCGGUAACAGACAUAAAGAUUCAGCUUGCUGAAUCCGGUGCUGACGAGCGGCGAACGGGUGAGUAACGCGUAGGAAUCUACCCAGUAGCGGGGGAUAGCCCGAGGAAACUCGGAUUAAUACCGCAUACGCCCUGAGGGGGAAAGGGGGCAAUUUAUUGCUCUCACUAUUGGAUGAGCCUGCGUAAGAUUAGCUUGUUGGUAGGGUAAUGGCCUACCAAGGCGACGAUCUUUAGCUGGUCUGAGAGGACGAUCAGCCACAUUGGGACUGAGACACGGCCCAGACAUCUACGGAUGGCAGCAGUUAAGAAUAUUGGACAAUGGGGGCAACCCUGAUCCAGGUAUACCGCGUGUGUGAAGAAGGCCCUAGGGUUGUAAAGCACUUUAAUCAGAGAAGAAGCAUUUUAAGUUAAUACCUUAAUUUGUUGACGUUAACUGAAGAAUAAGGACCGGCUAACUCCGUGCCAGCAGCCGCGGUAAUACGGAGGGUCCAAGCGUUAAUCGGAAUUACUGGGCGUAAAGCGCGCGUAGGCGGUUUAGCAAGUUGUAUGUGAAAGCCCUGGGCUCAACCUAGGAACUGCAUCCAAAACUACUAAGCUAGAGUACGAGAGAGGAGAGUAGAAUUUCUGGUGUAGCGGUGAAAUGCGUAGAUAUCAGAAGGAAUACCAAUGGCGAAGGCAGCUCUCUGGCUCGUCACUGACGCUGAGGUGCGAAAGCGUGGGUAGCAAACAGGAUUAGAUACCCUGGUAGUCCACGCCGUAAACGAUGACAACUAGCCGUUGGGCAGAUUUAACUGUUCAGUGGCACAGCUAACGCAUUAAGUUGUCCGCC